RNAcentral lists this microRNA precursor (76 nucleotides) under Callithrix jacchus (white-tufted-ear marmoset). RNAcentral's name for it is "mir-320 microRNA precursor family". It matches the Rfam family "mir-320 microRNA precursor family". Lineage: Eukaryota; Metazoa; Chordata; Mammalia; Primates; Cebidae. The record is from Rfam by way of RNAcentral.
AAAAUACUCAGCCUUCUCUUCCUAGUUCUUCCUGGAGUCGGGAAAAGCUGGGUCGAGAGGGAAAAAAAAAAUUAAA